GUGAAUAGAUAUUGAAUGAGACAUAUCGUGUGGUUCCUGUUAGAAAAAUUUUGAGAAGUAAAAGAUAAGUUAGUAUCCAUUGGAAGUAAGUUUGGUCUUGAAAGAUAAAUUUAAUGGACAAGCACUGAAUUAUAUUUUAAUUGGUGAAUUGUCGACGAAGGAUCGUGUUUGGAAUGUCUCAUUGAUACUUACAGGAAUUUGAAAUCGUAGGAGUGAGUUGGUAAAGUUUUGGGUGGAGAAGAAUGAGAGUGGUUGUGUAAUGAAAGUCCAAAUUAGCGAUUCAUGUAAAAAAUAGUAACUAAUAGUGUUUAGAUAAUUUUGGUUGUGUUUGAGGUGUGUUGGACUAAUUUUGGCAUGAAAUUGAUGCAACAAUGGAGUUUCAAAAGCAAAAUCUGGUGGCAGGUUUGUUAUAUGUACUGGUACUAAAAAAUGUAGUAACGGAGUAGAAUUUUUUGCUACAAAAAAUUUUAGAAUUUUGUGGGA
This 483-nucleotide long non-coding RNA is filed under the name Ananas comosus (pineapple). RNAcentral's name for it is "long non-coding RNA (ACOM_LNC009976)". The record is from RNAcentral. Lineage: Eukaryota; Viridiplantae; Streptophyta; Magnoliopsida; Poales; Bromeliaceae.